This 285-nucleotide long non-coding RNA is filed under the name Sarcophilus harrisii (Tasmanian devil). RNAcentral describes it as "lncRNA (ENSSHAG00000030260.1)". The record is from RNAcentral. Lineage: Eukaryota; Metazoa; Chordata; Mammalia; Dasyuromorphia; Dasyuridae.
CUGAUACAGAAAUUUCUACAACUAAAGCAAAUUGGCACCUGUCCAGCAAUUUGCUGAAUUAGAGAGUUGUCUGGAGGACUAAGAAGAUACCAUAAGGGUUUACCAUUUCCUUUUCCAGCUCAGAGAUGAGGGGCAAAGAAGAAUAAAAAGAAGUACAUCCUUCGAGUUGGCUGACUAGAAGGAGGAUGAUAUUCUCAACAGAAGACGAAUGAAGAAGUCUGGGAUGUUGGGGUUGGCUCCAACCUACCUUUUCAUCAUUAUUUCAUCUUGGCUAUAAUAUCAAAG